UACGUAGGCAGCGAGCGUUGUUCGGAAUUACUGGGCGUAAAGAGUGCGUAGCGGUGCCCUAAGUUUGGUGUGAAAUCUCCCGGCUCAACUGGGAGGGUGCGCCGAAAACUGGGGUGCUUGAGUGUGGGAGAGGUAAGCGGAAUUUCCGGUGUAGCGGUGAAAUGCGUAGAUAUCGGAAGGAACACCAGUGGCGAAAGCGGCUUCCUGGUCCAGCACCGACGUUCAGGCACGAAAGCGUGGGGAGCAAACAGG
RNAcentral lists this ribosomal RNA (252 nucleotides) under uncultured bacterium. Its description in RNAcentral is "partial 16S ribosomal RNA". It matches the Rfam family "Bacterial small subunit ribosomal RNA", at positions 524 to 776 of the family's 1533-position model. The record is from RNAcentral.